CUUAGUGGCGAACGGGUGAGUAACGCGUGAGGAACCUGCCUCAAAGAGGGGGACAACAGUUGGAAACGACUGCUAAUACCGCAUAAGCCCACGACCCGGCAUCGGGAAGAGGGAAAAGGAGCAAUCCGCUUUGAGAUGGCCUCGCGUCCGAUUAGCUAGUUGGUGAGGUAACGGCCCACCAAGGCAACGAUCGGUAGCCGGACUGAGAGGUUGAACGGCCACAUUGGGACUGAGGCACGGCCCAG
RNAcentral lists this ribosomal RNA (245 nucleotides) under uncultured bacterium. RNAcentral describes it as "partial 16S ribosomal RNA". It matches the Rfam family "Bacterial small subunit ribosomal RNA", at positions 91 to 334 of the family's 1533-position model. The record is from RNAcentral.